AAUGAACGUUGGCGGCGUGCCUAACACAUGCAAGUCGAGCGAGAAAGUCCUUCGGGAUGAGUAAAGCGGCGGACGGGUGAGUAACACGUGAGUUACCUGCCUUCUAGUGAAGAAUACCUUCGAGAAAUCGAAGUUAAUACUGCAUAAUCCCUACGGGGUAAAGGUGGCUUCAUGCUACCGCUAGAAGAUGGGCUUGCGGACUAUUAGCUUGUUGGUGAGGUAAAGGCUCACCAAGGCGAUGAUGGUUAACCGGCCUGAGAGGGUGUACGGUCACAUUGGAACUGAGAUACGGUCCAGACUCCUACGGGAGGCAGCAGUGGGGAAUAUUGCGCAAUGGGCGAAAGCCUGACGCAGCGACGCCGCGUGGAGGAUGAAGGCCUUCGGGUUGUAAACUUCUGUUAAGUGGGAAGAAAGGCUUGCCAAUAAUACGGGCAAGAAAUGACGGUACCACUAGAGAAAGCACUGGCUAAUCUCGUGCCAGCCGCCGCAGUAAAAC
Molecule: ribosomal RNA, 496 nt
Filed under: uncultured bacterium
Lineage: Bacteria
Description: bacterial SSU rRNA
Rfam family: Bacterial small subunit ribosomal RNA
Source: RNAcentral